AGAGUUUGAUCCUGGCUCAGAUUGAACGCUGGCGGAAUGCUUUACACAUGCAAGUCGAACGGCAGCACGGGAGCUUGCUCCUGGUGGCGAGUGGCGAACGGGUGAGUAAUGCGUCGGAACGUACCGAGUAAUGGGGGAUAACGCAGCGAAAGCUGUGCUAAUACCGCAUACGCCCUGAGGGGGAAAGUGGGGGAUCGCAAGACCUCACGUUAUUCGAGCGGCCGACGUCUGAUUAGCUAGUUGGUGGGGUAAUGGCUCACCAAGGCGACGAUCAGUAGCGGGUCUGAGAGGAUGAUCCGUCACACUGGAACUGAGACACGGUCCAGACUCCUACGGGAGGCAGCAGUGGGGAAUUUUGGACAAUGGGGGCAACCCUGAUCCAGCCAUGCCGCGUGAGCGAUGAAGGCCUUCGGGUUGUAAAGCUCUUUAGUCCACGAUUAUAAU
Molecule: ribosomal RNA, 444 nt
Filed under: uncultured bacterium
Lineage: Bacteria
Description: bacterial SSU rRNA
Rfam family: Bacterial small subunit ribosomal RNA
Source: RNAcentral